RNAcentral lists this ribosomal RNA (603 nucleotides) under Inocybe fuscodisca. RNAcentral's name for it is "LSU rRNA". It matches the Rfam family "Eukaryotic large subunit ribosomal RNA", at positions 74 to 653 of the family's 3401-position model. Lineage: Eukaryota; Fungi; Basidiomycota; Agaricomycetes; Agaricales; Inocybaceae. The record is from RNAcentral.
AUUCCCCUAGUAACUGCGAGUGAAGCGGGAAAAGCUCAAAUUUGAAAUCUGGCAGGUCUUGAACUUGUCCGAGUUGUAAUCUAGAGAAGUGUUACCUGUGCUGGACCGUGUACAAGUCUCCUGGAAUGGAGCGUCACAGAGGGUGAGAAUCCCGUCUUUGACACGGACUGCCUGCACGUUAUGGUGCGCUCUCAAAGAGUCGAGUUGUUUGGGAAUGCAGCUCAAAAUGGGUGGUAAAUGCCAUCUAAAGCUAAAUAUUGGCGAGAGACCGAUAGCGAACAAGUACCGUGAGGGAAAGAUGAAAAGUACUUUGGAAAGAGAGUUAAACAGUACGUGAAAUUGCUGAAAGGGAAACGCUUGAAGUCAGUCGCGUUGGCUGGAAAUCAACCUUGCUUUUGCUUGGUGUACUUUCUGGUCGACGGGUCAGCAUCAAUUUUGACCGCUGGAUAAAGUCUUUGGGAAUGUGGCAUCUUAGGAUGUGUUAUAGCCCAUUGUCGCAUACAACGGUUGGGAUUGAGGAACUCAGCACGCCCGCAAGGGACAGGUUUUUUGACCAUGUUUUCGUGCUUAGGAUGCUGGCAUAAUGGCUUUAAUCGACCCGUC